Molecule: ribosomal RNA, 462 nt
Filed under: uncultured soil bacterium
Lineage: Bacteria
Description: bacterial SSU rRNA
Rfam family: Bacterial small subunit ribosomal RNA
Source: RNAcentral
AGAUUGAACGCUAGCGGGAUGCUUUACACAUGCAAGUCGAACGGCAGCGCGGACUUCGGUCUGGCGGCGAGUGGCGAACGGGUGAGUAAUAUAUCGGAACGUGCCCAGUAGCGGGGGAUAACUACGCGAAAGCGUGGCUAAUACCGCAUACGCCCUACGGGGGAAAGGGGGGGAUUCUUCGGAACCUCUCACUAUUGGAGCGGCCGAUAUCAGAUUAGCUAGUUGGUGAGGUAAAGGCUCACCAAGGCGACGAUCUGUAGCUGGUUUGAGAGGACGACCAGCCACACUGGGACUGAGACACGGCCCAGACUCCUACGGGAGGCAGCAGUGGGAAUUUGGACAAGUGGGGGAAACCCUGACUCCAGCCAUCCGCGUGUGCGAUGAAGGCUUCGGUGUAAGCGACUUUGGUCGAGGAAGAAACGGACGGUGCCGUAACGUACGGACGGUCACUACGACGGUACC